UAGGGAAUAUUGGACAAUGGGGGCAACCCUGAUCCAGCCAUGCCGCGUGAGUGAAGAAGGCCCUCGGGUUGUAAAGCUCUUUUGUCCGGAAAGAAAAGCAUUCGGUGAAUACCCGGAUGUUCUGACGGUACCGGAAGAAUAAGCACCGGCUAACUUCGUGCCAGCAGCCGCGGUAAUACGGAGGGGGCUAGCGUUGUUCGGAAUUACUGGGCGUAAAGCGUACGUAGGCGGAUGCGCAAGUUGGGGGUGAAAUCCCGGGGCUUAACCUCGGAAUUGCCCUCAAAACUGGACGUCUUGAGACCGAGAGAGGUAAGGGGAAUUCCUAGUGUAGAGGUGAAAUUCGUAGAUAUUAGGAAGAACACCAGUGGCGAAGGCGCCUUACUGGCUCGGUACUGACGCUGAGGUACGAAAGCGUGGGGAGCAAACA
RNAcentral lists this ribosomal RNA (427 nucleotides) under uncultured bacterium. Its description in RNAcentral is "bacterial SSU rRNA". It matches the Rfam family "Bacterial small subunit ribosomal RNA", at positions 355 to 774 of the family's 1533-position model. The record is from RNAcentral.